GGAGAGGUCGCAUAGUGGUCUAGUGCGCCGCACUCGAAAUGCGGUGUAUCGCAAGGUACCGUGGGUUCGAAUCCCACCCUCUCCGCCA
This 88-nucleotide transfer RNA is filed under the name Armatimonadota bacterium. Its description in RNAcentral is "Armatimonadetes bacterium (activated sludge metagenome) tRNA-Ser". It matches the Rfam family "tRNA". Rfam says of the family: Transfer RNA (tRNA) molecules are approximately 80 nucleotides in length. Lineage: Bacteria; Bacillati; Armatimonadota. RNAcentral also lists the same sequence under 1 other name. The record is from RNAcentral.